Molecule: unclassified non-coding RNA, 330 nt
Filed under: soil metagenome
Description: partial contains 5.8S ribosomal RNA, internal transcribed spacer 2, and large subunit ribosomal RNA
Rfam family: 5.8S ribosomal RNA (bases 1-120)
Source: RNAcentral
GAUGAAGAACGCAGCGAAAUGCGAUAAGUAAUGUGAAUUGCAGAAUCCAGUGAAUCAUCGAAUCUUUGAACGCACAUUGCGCCCCUUGGUAUUCCGAGGGGCAUGCCUGUUCGAGCGUCAUUAUAACCCCUCAAGCUUAGCUUGGUGUUGGGGCCUGCUGUAAUAGAGCAGCCCUUAAAAUCAGUGGCGGUGCCAUUAGGCUCUAAGCGUAGUAAUUCUUCUCGCUAUAGGGUUCUGGUGGAUGCUUGCCAUUAACCUCUAAUUUUCUAUGGUUGACCUCGGAUCAGGUAGGGAUACCCGCUGAACUUAAGCAUAUCAAUAAGCGGAGGA